Molecule: long non-coding RNA, 274 nt
Filed under: Heterocephalus glaber (naked mole-rat)
Lineage: Eukaryota; Metazoa; Chordata; Mammalia; Rodentia; Bathyergidae
Description: lncRNA (ENSHGLG00100039359.1)
Source: RNAcentral
CUCUACAGCGGGGCCCCUCAGCAUUGUGGGAAGGCCUGGACCUCCCUAUUUCCCGGGAGUUGUUGGAGGUUGCACCGAGCGCACUACCGACUCUGUCCUUAAUUCGGGCCAAGCUUUGGGUGCUGGAAAUUAAAUCCAGGGCCUUGGGGAUGCUAGGCAAGUGCUCCACCAUUGAGCUACAUUGUGGCCCUUUUGAUGAGGAAAAAAAGAAGAAUCAAGAUAUAUCAUGUACUGGUACAAAUUUCCUAUAAUGAAUGUUAUCAUCAUGUAUAUC